AUAUGCAGUAUUUGCUAAAUAAAUACUUAAAUAUCGAAAUAUUGGUUGAUGCGCCUCCAGAUCAGCCACAACUCGCUAGAAGGACCAACCAAUCAGAAUUUGCCACGACGCCAAUACAUGGUUGAUCAGGAGCGGCUACUUAUUGAGGCUGAAUUCGCAUAUUAUAAGCUUCCCACGGUUGGCCACAUCCUAGCCUGGGGUCUCAUCGAAAUUCUGCCGUUGUAACAAACAUGACGUCAUUCGCAUGCAAGACAUUCACACCGAUGUUCAGACCAUAUCCAAGCCAGUCAUUUCUGGAUGGCCCACGUGCCCUAAUUCUUUGGUGGUAGAUAAGCUCUUCCAUCCACACGAUCAACAAAAGAGGGGAGCUGAAGAGGUGAGUGCACACAAGACGCCCUAACAGAUUGCGAGAGAACCUCCUGUUCUUUGAGAACCUUCUUGACUUAGGCAUUGGAGGAUCCCCCAUCGAAUAAGCUUAGACCAGAGAAUUUCUUCGUUUGUGCUAUUUCAGGUCAAAGGGCGGCCACUCAAGAAGGACCUCGGUAGCGACUGCAUGCCACUCGUCCUCUCCGAUCUCGACAGGAACAACCAACAACCGAGUUCUCUAGCGUCAUCGCGCUUCUUAUUGUAGUGCCUAGGACGGGCCGGUUAUUAGUGGCAAUAGAUCGGUGCUAGAGGAACUGCGGGUACACCACUCCUUUUGCCCGAGGAGGAACUACUAUUGCCAAACUUCCUCUUUCUCGAGGAGCG
RNAcentral lists this long non-coding RNA (750 nucleotides) under Phoenix dactylifera (date palm). RNAcentral describes it as "long non-coding RNA (PDAC_LNC018638)". Lineage: Eukaryota; Viridiplantae; Streptophyta; Magnoliopsida; Arecales; Arecaceae. The record is from RNAcentral.